CCUUCCUUUCGUUUCGACAGCUUCAAUGAUGACCUCGCGCACACGUUUGGGUACUUCCUCCGGUACUCCAGUACGUUGUCUAACUGCGCACACACUUGGUGCGCCAGCACUUCCUCAGAUCAAAAGUGACGCUGUGAUCUUCUACUUUCACGAAGCAUACGGUGUUCCAAAAGUUAUUGGAGCCGCUGACAACGGACAAAGCGAGGCACGCAACAUCCACUCGGAGCACGUAGAACUCCUUGCAAGAGGGAGCAGAUGACGUCGCUGCAAAAGCGUCUUGCAUUUUCCUCUUAGGGUCUGAGCUGAUUUGCCUUUUACCUGCUUCGAACGAAACGAAAAAUCAAACAGCAUGGUAAUCUCGACUCUCUCGCUCAUCUUUCUUGAAAAUAGAGGCAUGACUGCCAGUAGCAGCUUCUUUCUCAAUGCGCGGCUAGUGGUGGAUAGCACUCAUCCCGGUCUUACCUACAGUAGCUACAUAGAUGUCGUGCUGCAUGGGUCCUCCGUUCCUUCAUCUCUUUCUCUCCCUCUACCCUUGUGCAUAUUUCUUGUUCUUGUGUGUGCAAG
This 564-nucleotide unclassified non-coding RNA is filed under the name Leishmania donovani. RNAcentral describes it as "gene:unknown". The record is from RNAcentral. Lineage: Eukaryota; Euglenozoa; Kinetoplastea; Trypanosomatida; Trypanosomatidae.